AGCGAACGCUGGCGGCAGGCCUAACACAUGCAAGUCGAACGAACUCUUCGGAAUUGGUGGCGGACGGGUGUGUAACACGGGGGAACGUGCCUUUUGGUUCGGGAUAACUCAGGGAAACUUGUGCUAAUGCCGAAUGUGCCCUUCGAGGGAAAGAUUGAUCGCGAUUGGUGAGGCCCGCGUCUGAUUAGCUUGUUGGGGAGGUAACGGCUCACCAAGGCGACGAUCAGUAGCUGGUUUGAGAGGAUGACCAGCCACACUGGGACUGAGACACGGUCCAGACUCCUACGCGAGGGAGCAGUGCGGAAUCUAGCGCAACGGGCGAGAGGCUGACGCAGCCAGGCCGCGUGAAUGAUGAAGGUCGUAGGAAUGUAAAAUUCUUUCACCGGGGACGAUAAUGACGGUACCCGGAGAAGAAGCCCCGGCUAACUUCGUG
This 433-nucleotide ribosomal RNA is filed under the name uncultured bacterium. RNAcentral's name for it is "partial 16S ribosomal RNA". It matches the Rfam family "Bacterial small subunit ribosomal RNA", at positions 29 to 507 of the family's 1533-position model. The record is from RNAcentral.